ACCCNGGUAGCAUACGCUCUUUGCUGUGU
Molecule: non-coding RNA, 29 nt
Filed under: Homo sapiens (human)
Lineage: Eukaryota; Metazoa; Chordata; Mammalia; Primates; Hominidae
Source: RNAcentral